CCUACGGGUGGCAGCAGUGGGGGAUAUUGCACAAUGGAGGGAACUCUGAUGCAGCGACGCCGCGUGAGUGAAGAAGUAAUUCGUUAUGUAAAGCUCUAUCAGCAGGGAAGAAAGUGACGGUGCCUGAGAAGUAAGAUCCGGCGACAUCCGUGCCAGCAGCCGCGGUGAUACGUAGGGCGCGAGCGUUAUCCGGAGUUACGGGGGGUAAAGGGGGCGUGGGGGGCAGUGCAAGUCCGAAGUGAAAACCCCACGCUCACCCCUGGGACUGCUCUAGAAACUGCUCAGCUAGAGUGCAGGAGAGGCAAGUGGACUUCUUAGUGUAGCGGUGAAAUGCGUAGAUAUUAGGAGGAACACCAGUGGCGAAGGCGGCUUGCUGGACUGUAACUGACACUGAGGCUCGAAAGCGUGGGGAGCAAACAGGAUUAGAUACCCUUGUAGUC
This 440-nucleotide ribosomal RNA is filed under the name uncultured bacterium. RNAcentral's name for it is "partial 16S ribosomal RNA". It matches the Rfam family "Bacterial small subunit ribosomal RNA", at positions 338 to 795 of the family's 1533-position model. The record is from RNAcentral.